CCCAUAUCUCCCUCCUCUAGAUCAAAUCUAAGAUAAAAGGAAGGUUUUAGACAGGAAAAAAAAGAUUAAGAUGGGUUCUUGAUCUUUUUUGGUGAUCAGGUUCAAUCCCCAGAAAUCUGCCAAUGGCUGCUUCAAGUAAUAUAAGAAAAAGGGUCCAAAUCCAAGUUGAAGAACAAAGCCUGCAAGGAUGCUAGCACAUCGGUGGCUUUGGAGUUCGGAUUGGGAUCACCUCUGUAUGGAUACC
Molecule: long non-coding RNA, 244 nt
Filed under: Elaeis guineensis (African oil palm)
Lineage: Eukaryota; Viridiplantae; Streptophyta; Magnoliopsida; Arecales; Arecaceae
Description: long non-coding RNA (EGUI_LNC060561)
Source: RNAcentral